Molecule: ribosomal RNA, 454 nt
Filed under: bacterium enrichment culture clone ALO1_GLFRUDD03G6NG7
Lineage: Bacteria
Description: bacterial SSU rRNA
Rfam family: Bacterial small subunit ribosomal RNA
Source: RNAcentral
GAGUUUGAUCGUGGCUCAGAUUGAACGCUGGCGGCAUGCCUUACACAUGCAAGUCGAACGACAGCACGGGAGCUUGCUCCUGGUGGCGAGUGGCGAACGGGUGAGUAAUGCAUCGGAACGUAUCCUGGAGUGGGGGGAUAACGUAGCGAAAGUUACGCUAAUACCGCAUAUUCUGUGAGCAGGAAAGCGGGGGGACCUUCGGGCCUCGCGCUCUUGGAGCGGCCGAUGUCGGAUUAGCUAGUUGGUGAGGUAAAGGCUCACCAAGGCGACGAUCCGUAGCAGGUCUGAGAGGAUGAUCUGCCACACUGGAACUGAGACACGGUCCAGACUCCUACGGGAGGCAGCAGUGGGGAAUUUUGGACAAUGGGGGCAACCCUGAUCCAGCCAUGCCGCGUGAGUGAAGAAGGGCCUCGUGUAAGGUAGUACGUUCGUCGUACGGUAGGAAAGUAGUACG